Molecule: ribosomal RNA, 253 nt
Filed under: uncultured bacterium
Lineage: Bacteria
Description: partial 16S ribosomal RNA
Rfam family: Bacterial small subunit ribosomal RNA
Source: RNAcentral
UACGUAGGGCGCAAGCGUUGUCCGGAAUUAUUGGGCGUAAAGAGCUCGUAGGCGGUCUGUUACGUCCGCUGUGAAAACCCAGGGCUUAACCCUGGGCUUGCAGUGGAUACGGGUAGACUAGAGGCAGGUAGGGGAGAAUGGAAUUCCCGGUGUAGCAGUGAAAUGCGUAGAUAUCGUGAGGAAGACCAGUGGCGAAGGCGGAUCUCUGGACAGUUCCUGACGCUGAGGCGCGAAGGCCAGGGGAGCAAACGGG